RNAcentral lists this transfer RNA (69 nucleotides) under Urocitellus parryii (Arctic ground squirrel). Its description in RNAcentral is "Spermophilus parryii (Arctic ground squirrel) tRNA". It matches the Rfam family "tRNA". From Rfam's summary of the family: Transfer RNA (tRNA) molecules are approximately 80 nucleotides in length. Their secondary structure includes four short double-helical elements and three loops (D, anti-codon, and T loops). Further hydrogen bonds mediate the characteristic L-shaped molecular structure. tRNAs have two regions of fundamental functional importance: the anti-codon, which is responsible for specific mRNA codon recognition, and the 3' end, to which the tRNAs corresponding amino acid is attached (by aminoacyl-tRNA synthetases). tRNAs cope with the degeneracy of the genetic code in two manners: having more than one tRNA (with a specific anti-codon) for a particular amino acid; and 'wobble' base-pairing, i.e. permitting non-standard base-pairing at the 3rd anti-codon position. RNAcentral also lists the same sequence under 1 other name. The record is from Rfam by way of RNAcentral. Lineage: Eukaryota; Metazoa; Chordata; Mammalia; Rodentia; Sciuridae.
GAGGUUGUGGCUCAGUGGUAGAGUGCAUGCCUAGCAUGUGUGAGGCACUGGGUUUGAUCCCCAGCAUCA